Long non-coding RNA from Pieris napi, 230 nucleotides. RefSeq lists it as uncharacterized. NCBI's taxonomy places the organism in Eukaryota, Metazoa, Arthropoda, Insecta, Lepidoptera, Pieridae. The record is from RefSeq and is a predicted model, not a curated record. The transcript has 2 exons.
AGACUUUGAAUGGCUACCUACACAUUUGAUUGUUGUAGCUUCUGGAGUUGAUUGUGAAGGCAAUGCGUUAGAAAAUGGCACAAUGAUUCACAAAGACAAAGUUAUUAUGACUGGCAAAUGUGCUUUACUUCUACAAAGUUUGAAGGACUGUUGUGAAAAUAAUAAAUAAUGGUUUUAUAAAGAAUAAAUGCUAUUCAACAAUCAUUGUUAAAUAUAAAUAAAAAUUAUAA